ACCGACAUCAGUGAUUCAUUGCGUGACCCCUGACCGACCGCCAGAUACGCCAGCAUUCCCAGCUCUUUCAUCUGCUCUUCACCGAUAACCCGGGUGCUGAGUACAGAUGAAUGAUUGUCUGCCAGCUGACGCGCCUGUGACGCGAGGUAAGCUGCGUUACAGAUGUUCGGCGGCAUAUUUGCCAGGUCUUUUGC
RNAcentral lists this antisense RNA (194 nucleotides) under Morganella psychrotolerans. RNAcentral describes it as "Yersinia sRNA 276". It matches the Rfam family "Yersinia sRNA 276". The record is from RNAcentral. Lineage: Bacteria; Pseudomonadati; Pseudomonadota; Gammaproteobacteria; Enterobacterales; Morganellaceae.